Molecule: non-coding RNA, 1798 nt
Organism: Microcebus murinus (gray mouse lemur)
Lineage: Eukaryota; Metazoa; Chordata; Mammalia; Primates; Cheirogaleidae
Source: RefSeq, a predicted model, not a curated record
UGACAAUUUUCAGCAACAUCCCCUAGAAAUUGGAAUAAGUAAACCUCUGUGACCUGCUGAGUAGAGCACAUCUGCUCUCUACUGUUUUUUUGAAACAGAGAAAUAAACUCAGGUCUGGGAAUCUAAGACCCAGUUUCCAAUCUGUGUGGCUGCUCUGGGAAGUCUUAUAACCACUCUGAUUCUCAGUUUCUUCAUGUAUAAAAUAAAGUGGUUAGAAUAUAGUAUUUCAAAUGCCCCUGCUGAGUUCUAAGUUCUGUGAUUCUAUAAGAGUUGCCAUUGGAAACCAGGUCAUCUGACUUUUUAAGGAAUUUAUUGCUGAACUUAAAAGCCCCAUGCUUAGGACCAUGCAACACAUGACCUAAAUGAUAGCAAGGAACAAAUCAGCUGCCUUUAGAGUGAUUCUGAACCAAUGAAAAUCUGGAGUGGGAUGGUAGCUGUGGACAUGAAGAAGAAGCCUCUAGGAGGAGGAGUGUUGAUUUCGGUUAGUCAGAUUCCAGGAUGAAAGAUCACAAUUUCUUGAAGUAGAGCUGGCUUUAAAAGGACUCCAAAAAUCAAGGCAAAGUUUCUACUUAUAUUCAGAUGACUCCUUGAGGGGAAAAGAUAAGAAGUAUAAUUUCUUGGACAUUGGCUCUCAGACUGACUCAUAAUCUAACAGUAACAGAAACCACUCCCAUGGUUGGUAAUUCAAUCUGUUGUCCACUCUUACUCAGAAGAUGAUUACCACCAGUACUUCUAUUUCAAGGGAGGCUUUCUGCAAUGUCUCAGAUGAGAAAACAGAGAGAAAUCAAGUAACUUGUUCACACAACUAGUGGAUAAACUGAGAUUCAUACAUGGCUAUCCUCAUAAUCACCACCCUUAACUCUCACACUAUAUUAUCUCUCAGGUAUUGUACAUUUCUUACUCUCUGACCCAGAUAUUUGUUCUGAGUAUGGUUGAUACUUUGGUCCUUCGAUUUAAAAGUUGAGGUCUACAAGCUUCCCUUUAUGUUUGCUGGUACAUAGAAUAUAAUUAACAGAAAGUAUAAAUAGAAAUAACCAAGUUAAUGGUACUGUCAUUUCUUUGAUCAUCCAAAUACAAAGCCAUAUAGAUAAAUAUGAUCCUUCAGCAUCUUUUCCCCCUCAUGUCUUCCAGAGUUGGGCCCAUCUAACUAAGUUGGCAGAACAUGACCCUUAAUAUCAGAGUAAAGGCCAAGGUGAUUUAUAUUAGACUAGGAGUUCCUUACUGAAAGUAGUGAUGCUAUACCUGUAGCCAUUUCAGUACCUCUCUGGCAUUUAGGAGGGAUUUGGUAUAUUUUACCAAGUAAAUGAAUCUAAUACAACUGUAAUGAAUUCUAUUUCAGCAGAGAUUCUUGUUCUUUUCUUUUUAUUCAUCUUCAUUGCCCAUUCUCCCAUGAGGCCUUUGUUUCUUCUCCCCAGAAUAUUCCAUUUGCCUCCUACUUCCCUUUGCAACCACAUUUCUUGCCUCUCUCUACCCCAACAUGCCAGCUUUCCUUUCUCAACCUAUCUGUCCUUUCCCAGCCCCUCUCCCUAAACCUAGACUUUAAUCAUUCUGAAUUAUUUAUAAUUUAGAGUAAGAGUAAUAGAUCACCUUCAGGACUUUGGACUUGCUACUUCUCAGAUGUCUGUUCAUCUUCAGGGUUCAGUUAAGAUUAUGUCCAUCCCAGGAACCUCCUUGAUUUAGCAACUUUCCCCAUCAGCCCUCUCUAUGCCUUACCCCCAGACAGGAGUCAGGACUCAUAGCAACCAGGGCAACCACAGAACAUUUUUAUCCUAUCAUUUUUUGUUUUUUUGAGACAGAG